Non-coding RNA from Vermiconidia calcicola, 127 nucleotides. The record is from the annotation of a GenBank genome assembly. Lineage: Eukaryota; Fungi; Ascomycota; Dothideomycetes; Mycosphaerellales; Extremaceae.
GAGUUGUUAGCUCAGUGGGUAGAGCAACAGGGGGGUUUUAGGGCCCGGGGACCAGACCGUAAAUAAAGGCCAGUGUCCCGAAGAGACCCUAAAUCUGUGGUCGUAGGUGCGAUUCCUGCACAACUCA